AAGGAAAAUGAAAACUUUUAAUAAUUUGUAUCACAAAAUAUUGCUUUUCCUUACUUACAAUGGACCUCAUUCACCAAUCGUAAACAGACAGCAUUUAGCCACGUGCUAAUAUUGAUAAAACAAUGGGGGAAAAAAACUGUCACGUGACAGCCUUUAUGGAUUAAAUAUUUUGUAUAGAAGAUAUAGAGAAUCACGUGGUUAAAUGUUGUCUGUUUACGAUUGGUGACUGAGAUGGAAGAUUGGGAUUUUUGUUUAUCAUUUGGUUAUUGUCCUAAUGGGCUACUACACGCUGAGAACACAUUUAAACAUCUGUAGUUAUGAACUGAAUAUUGUAAAUGAAACACAUUGAAUAUGAAUUUAAAAAAAAUGAUAAUAAAUAGCAAUAAUAGCAUUUAAAAUAACACUUAAGGAAAACAGAAUCAUUUAACAAGUUCAUUGUGGUCACACUAACCAAUACAUAAUUCACUCUUUUCUUUUUGAUUGUGUGGUUUUGCUUGUAUCUUUCUCUCGCUCUUUGUCUCUAAACACACACACACGCACACACAUGCACACACACAAGCACAUAAAAGCUUUUAUUAACACAUUCUCAACUUUUUUUUUACUUUGUAGAUCAUCUAUCACAUUUAUAUAUAUAUAUAUAUAUAUAUAUA
This is a non-coding RNA of Biomphalaria pfeifferi, 650 nucleotides long. The record is from the annotation of a GenBank genome assembly. NCBI's taxonomy places the organism in Eukaryota, Metazoa, Mollusca, Gastropoda, Planorbidae.